Herpailurus yagouaroundi (jaguarundi) is the source of this 2319-nucleotide RNA transcript. It is a transcript of the gene named cystin 1, with no coding region annotated. The transcript is spliced from 3 exons. The record is from RefSeq and is a predicted model, not a curated record. Lineage: Eukaryota; Metazoa; Chordata; Mammalia; Carnivora; Felidae.
GUCCUCUGUCUUUGCUCCACCCCCCACUCUCUGUCCCUCUUCCUAUUGUGAAUUCCCUGCUGACCUGGGAGUCGUCUCCUCUUCAUCUUUAUACCCCCCAGAGGCAACAAUGAGUGUUCAAAGAAACGUGCCAUGAUAUUGGCUCCCCCAUAGCACGAUCACCAGUCACCAGCGGCCACAGCGGUACCCGUUGGGGGUACCCCUGAGACGGGGCUGUGCACCUCUGCCAUGCGGCCAGCCCCCACUUGCAGACAGCAUUGGGCGGGCAAGAACAAUGCGGACAAUGCAUUGAAGCUGGCUGGCCGUCCACUGCCCACCCCCACAGGGCCUGGGUUGGCAGGACAUACCCAGUGCGUGCUUCCUUCCAUUUCCCACCACGGACGUUUCCCAAGGAACAUGUCAGAACGUAUUUCUCCGGGAACAACAUGUCGUACCAGACCCUCUCCUUACGCAUUGAAGACCAAGAUGUUCCCUGGGCCAACCUCUUCAUGUGCUCCGAUUACCUUCCAGGGGAGCUUUGUCAGACGUCACUCUAGAUCGGACGUUGGUUCGGAUACUUAUUGGUCGUCGAUAGGAUGGGUGUUACACUAAGGAUGAGCUGGAUGGAUAAUGGGUGUCCUCAAAGCAGAGCGCUGACGACCACCCAGGGAGCAGCAGUGUCUACGGAGCCCCAGACGGCAGCCACGGGAGGCCAGACGGGCAGUCGGACAUCCCCGCCGUCUCGUAUGACUACUCAGAGGAGGCGCUGAUGGCCAGCAUCGAGCAGGAAUACUGUCGCUGAGGCCGCUGAGGCCGCUGAGGCCGCUGCCGCCGCCUGGCAGGCCCCCCUGCUCCCGCCCCCGCCCCCGCCCGCCUCCGCCGCUCCUCUGCCACCGGUCCCACCUGACCGGACUGGGGUGGCGCCUCACCUCCCCCUGUCCAGGCUCUGGCUGGAGCUGAGCCCCCUCCAACACGCAGUUACUCCCGGCUCUUUCAAAAGACCCGGCUUCCAGCAAGCUGGCUCCAGGGGUCCGUCGUGCCGACCAUGGCCUGAAGAGAGACCCCGGGGCUGCCCCACAGGCGCGUGGGCAGGGGAUCUCCCAGAGGCUCCUCUCAGUCCCCGGGGAGGGCUUGUCUACAAGGUCCUUCCCCUCUCCGAUGGCCCUCUCUCCGUCUGGGCUGGGCACAGCUCACCGGCUCACCGGCUCCAGCUGCCCUCUGUGGGUCCCGGGGCAGGGCCUAGACUCUGCAUUUCUAACCAGCUCCCAGGUGAGACCCAGGCCCCCGGGGCCCCAGCCUCCCUUGGGGUAGGAGGGAUUGAGUCUAAGCUUCAGACCUCAUGUGAUGCUUCCUUCCUGGUGCUGGGCCCGGGUGACAGAGGGGAGCACAGGGCCGGGAGCUGGAGCCCCGAGUUCUGAUCCUCCCUCUCGCACUCCCUUGCAGCCACUUUCCCCUUGUGGGCCUCAGUUUCCCUCUCCAGAAAGUGGGUCCUGGAGGCUCUUCCGGGCAAUCUGGCCCUGACAGUCUGGAAUUAGACAAUUCUGGGCUUCCUUGAUCCCUGCUGUUCCGCCACCCGCUGGGGCACAGGGCUGCCCCCCGCCUGCUGAGGGUGGGCGCCCCUGUGCACCUGUAGGAGGUCUUGAGGGACACCCGCUCUCGGCAGACCACGGCCUGAUGGGACUGUUUUACUCUCUUCCCACCGGGUAGAAGGUAGAAGGGCGUCGGAACAAAGGGGCACGUGGGGGCGACGUCAGCUGUGGCCGAAACCAGGAUGGGUCUCAGCUUGUUGCAUUUACCACCUCCCUGGCGUCGCCCGCAAGGUGCGAGAGCAUCUCGGGAGCUGACGAAGGGCCCGUUGGCACCGUCCCCAGACCCACGGGCCUGCUGCCGUCAUCAGCAGGCGGAUGUUGCCAUGAACUUUUGUUACUCGACAAGAGAGCCUUUGAUGGGCCGUUCCAUGGCUGGGAGGUUCUUCCCGCUGAGCCAGAGGACGGGCCCGACGGAGCCUUCCCACAGCCGCCCCUGAGGGAUGGACCAGGACCUUGACAGUGACAGCUAUGCCCCAUCCAAGCCCCAAUCCUCUCUUUUGAUCAGAGAUGACAGCCAUUACUGUUUUAAUAAUAUGAAACACUCCUUUUAAGAGAAGUUAAAAUGUUAUUCAAGGACAAGGCCUUGAAUUCAAUGAUGUAAAGUGUUCACAAGUUUACGUCGUUAUUUUGUUAAAGCAGAAAACGUUUCCGAGAGAAAGAUGAUAGCCCUGCCUCGUCCAGGGGAAACCUCACACAACCCUUAAGGACACGAAAGUGUUAAGAAAAUAAAAUUCCUCAUGUCGUGGCUGCA